UACAGAGGUCUCGAGCGUUAGGCGGAAUCACUGGGCUUAAAGCGUGUGUAGGCGGAUCGGUAAGUACCUUGUGAAAUCCACAGCUUAACUGUGGAACUGCUUGGUAUACUGCCAAGUCUUGAGCCACUUAGGGCUACCGGAACAAAUGGUGGAGCGGUGAAAUGCGUAGAUAUCAAUUGGAACGCCAAUGGUGAAACAUGGUAGCUGGGAGUGAUGCUGACGCUGGAGACACGAAGCCAGGGAGCAAACGGG
Molecule: ribosomal RNA, 252 nt
Filed under: uncultured bacterium
Lineage: Bacteria
Description: partial 16S ribosomal RNA
Rfam family: Bacterial small subunit ribosomal RNA
Source: RNAcentral